This 606-nucleotide ribosomal RNA is filed under the name uncultured bacterium. Its description in RNAcentral is "bacterial SSU rRNA". It matches the Rfam family "Bacterial small subunit ribosomal RNA", at positions 339 to 948 of the family's 1533-position model. The record is from RNAcentral.
CUACGGGAGGCAGCAGUAAGGAAUAUUGGUCAAUGGACGAAAGUCUGAACCAGCCAUGCCGCGUGAAGGAUGAAGGCCCUCUGGGUUGUAAACUUCUUUUACAGGGGACGAAAAAAGGGAAUUCUUUCUCACUUGACGGUACCCUGGGAAUAAGCACCGGCUAACUCCGUGCCAGCAGCCGCGGUAAUACGGAGGGUGCAAGCGUUAUCCGGAUUCACUGGGUUUAAAGGGUGCGUAGGUGGGUCUGUAAGUCAGCGGUGAAAUCUCCGGGCUUAACCCGGAAACUGCCAUUGAUACUAUAGAUCUUGAAUUGUCUGGAGGUAAGCGGAAUAUGUCAUGUAGCGGUGAAAUGCUUAGAUAUGACAUAGAACACCAAUUGCGAAGGCAGCUUACUACGGAUUGAUUGACACUGAGGCACGAAAGCGUGGGGAUCAAACAGGAUUAGAUACCCUGGUAGUCCACGCCCUAAACGAUGGAUACUCGACAUUUGUGAUAUACUAUAAGUGUCUGAGCGAAAGCAUUAAGUAUCCACCUGGAAGUACGACCGCAAGGUUGAACUCAAAUGAAUUGACGGCUGAGAGNGCGAGACGACGACGAGGGAGGAGG